RNAcentral lists this small RNA (108 nucleotides) under Nippostrongylus brasiliensis. Its description in RNAcentral is "SL2 RNA". It matches the Rfam family "SL2 RNA". Rfam says of the family: This family represents SL2 RNA. SL2 RNA is involved in trans splicing in lower eukaryotes. The record is from Rfam by way of RNAcentral. Lineage: Eukaryota; Metazoa; Nematoda; Chromadorea; Rhabditida; Heligmosomidae.
GGUAAUUACCCAGUAUCUCAAGGUACUACGGGCUUCCGACCAUCCGCUUGCGGUUGUGUCGUUACCUAAAUUUUUGGACGGCCUUUCCGGGGUAUCCGGGAGGGCAAC